UACAGAGGUCCCGAGCGUUGUUCGGAUUCAUUGGGCGUAAAGAGCGUGUAGGCGGCCGCACAGGUCCGUUGUGAAAACUGGAGGCUUAACCUUCAGACGUCGAUGGAAACCGUGCGGCUAGAGUCCGGAAGAGGAGAAUGGAAUUCCUGGUGUAGCGGUGAAAUGCGCAGAUAUCAGGAAGAACACCAAUGGCGAAAGCAGCUCUCUGGGACGGUACUGACGCUGAGACGCGAAAGCGUGGGGAGCGAACAGG
This 253-nucleotide ribosomal RNA is filed under the name uncultured bacterium. RNAcentral's name for it is "partial 16S ribosomal RNA". It matches the Rfam family "Bacterial small subunit ribosomal RNA", at positions 524 to 776 of the family's 1533-position model. The record is from RNAcentral.